Molecule: non-coding RNA, 979 nt
Filed under: Trichomonas vaginalis G3
Lineage: Eukaryota; Parabasalia; Trichomonadida; Trichomonadidae
Description: Eukaryotic large subunit ribosomal RNA
Rfam family: Eukaryotic large subunit ribosomal RNA
Source: Rfam by way of RNAcentral
GAAAGUCAGGGGAAACUCUGAUGGAGGACCGUACGGGUUAUUGAUGUGCAAAUCAUUUUUCUGAUGUAGGUAAAGGUGCGAAAGACUCAUCGAACCACCUAAUAGCUGGUUUCCUCCGAAGUUUCCCUCAGGAUAGCUGUAAUGCAUUUAGUUAAGGGGAGUAGAGAUAUGGGUAGAGGUGCAGGGAGCCUUCGGGUUCUCAACUUAUUUCCAAACUUCGAACCUCCUUGUUAGGCAUUUACCUAACUGGAAAUGCUUAAAUGAAUUAGCGUUACAAGUGGGCUCUGACCGGUAAGCGGUCAUGGCGAAAUGGGAUGAACCAUACGUCUGAAUAAGGUGCCGAAAUGUACUAUCACUGAUACCAUAAAGGGAGUCCAUGUAUUUAGACAGCAGGUCGGUGCCCCUAAAAGCAGGUAUCCGCUAAAGAGUGUGUUAAAACUCACCUGCCGAAUACUAGGGCCCCGAAAAUGAAUGGCGCAUAUAGUACUACCGAUCUCAGACAUCAGUUCUAUUGAACUGAGAGUAGGGGGAUGUGGACAUUUUUGUGAAGGUGCAAUGUGAGUUGGACUGGAAGAAUGUCUAUUACAGAUCCUAAUUGAAGUAGCGAUUAUCCAGGCUUGUAUCCUGGGGGCUGAUGAGGAGUAGGGUUUCUGGACAACUUAAACAGAUCCAGAGUUAGUCGAUCCUAAUCUCAAUAAUGGGAGAAAGGGAGUACAGUUGAUAUUCUGUAACUGACAACAGUUCGCGGCAACGCAUACUAUUUUUCUCCGCCAAUCUUAUACCGUUGGUAGGGAUCUCUUUCCUACAUGACAGUACUAAUACCCAGGGAAACUGGUCAUCAGGCGAACUGCGGCGUUCUGCUGGCAAAACAUAGCUUCGGUUAUGUCAAUGGCUAUUGGAUUGGUCCAUGAAGCGAAAAAUAGUUUACUGUGUCACUCGUACCGAUAACCGCAUCAGGUCUUCUAGGUAAGUAGCCUAU